GUCAUUCUUCCACAUAGACAUAGCUCACUGUGGAGGCUCUGAAUCUCACACCAGGAGGCAGCACCUGAGUGAUUUGACUCUCCUGCCUUGGCCCAGUCCACAGAUAGCAUUAUGACAUGUUGCUGAACCCGGCACCUAGGAGAUGUGACUUUAUUUUCCUGCCUUGGUACUGCCCACAGUUGUGUCCACAGGAGCGAUUUUGAUGUAUUGCUGGGCCGAACACAAAGGUGAUGUAAGUUUUCUGCCUUGGCCCUACCAAAAG
Molecule: long non-coding RNA, 262 nt
Filed under: Homo sapiens (human)
Lineage: Eukaryota; Metazoa; Chordata; Mammalia; Primates; Hominidae
Description: HSALNT0341237
Source: RNAcentral